RNAcentral lists this ribosomal RNA (119 nucleotides) under Adineta vaga. RNAcentral also lists the same sequence under 7 other names. The record is from RNAcentral. Lineage: Eukaryota; Metazoa; Rotifera; Eurotatoria; Adinetida; Adinetidae.
GCUUACGGCCAUACCACGUUGAAUACACCAGUUCUCGUCCGAUCACUGAAGUUAAGCAACGUCGGGCUCGGUUAGUACUUGGAUGGGUGACCGCCUGGGAAUACCGAGUGUCGUAAGCU